CAGAGGCAGGAAACAAAGGUUAUGUGUACGACCAAACGCAUUCCGUCCCUGCCGUGGAGGAGGCGCACGAACUUGGGGUUUUGAUUUUGUUCUCCGAAUGUGCAAAUUAUUCGUCUCCGCAAGUUGUAGUUCAACUGAAAGCCGUUUUGUGUCAGAAAAAAUGUGUCAACAUGCGUGUCUCCCACCACCACAACGAAAUCUGAUAUGCAGCCUCGCACCGAAACCGGGCCCGUGCUCUCCGCUAUUGCAAGACUGGCACUUUGAUGCCCAGACUGGCUUCUGUAAACGUUUUCCAUCAGGAUUUUGCAGUAACAAUCCUAAUAGUUUUCCGUCAUGUGAAUCUUGCAUGAAUAGAUGCAGCGACGGAAACACUGCAGCACUCUGCCAUCGGUCUCCUUAAACAAGCAGAAAACCAAAACUGGGACCGGCACGACCUAUAUUAUAGGAACUACGCCGACCGAAACCGCCCGAAUAGGAAGAUCUAUCCUUC
This 490-nucleotide long non-coding RNA is filed under the name Dermacentor andersoni. RNAcentral describes it as "uncharacterized LOC126533744". Lineage: Eukaryota; Metazoa; Arthropoda; Arachnida; Ixodida; Ixodidae. The record is from RNAcentral.